ACGGGAGGCAGCAGUGGGGAAUAUUGGGCAAUGGGCGCAAGCCUGACCCAGCAAUGCCGCGUGAAGGAAGAAGGCUUUCGGGUUGUAAACUUCUUUUAUGAGGGACGAAGGAAUUGACGGUACCUCAUGAAUAAGCCACGGCUAACUACGUGCCAGCAGCCGCGGUAAUACGUAGGUGGCAAGCGUUAUCCGAAUUUACUGGGUGUAAAGGGCGCGUAGGCGGGGAAGCAAGUCAGAUGUGAAAUCUAUGGGCUUAACUCAUAAACUGCAUUUGAAACUGUUUCUCUUGAGUGCUGGAGAGGUAGAUGGAAUUCCUAGUGUAGCGGUGAAAUGCGUAGAUAUUAGGAAGAACACCAGUGGCGAAGGCGAUCUACUGGACAGUAACUGACGCUGAGGCGCGAAAGCGUGGGGAGCAAACAGGAUUAGAUACCCUGGUA
Molecule: ribosomal RNA, 437 nt
Rfam family: Bacterial small subunit ribosomal RNA